CUUGACCGAGCCCAGCCACAGCGGCUCGGCGCGGUCCUGGCCGUAGGCGGCGAGCACGGCCUGGGCCUC
This 69-nucleotide antisense RNA is filed under the name Actinokineospora bangkokensis. Its description in RNAcentral is "ASpks TB sRNA". It matches the Rfam family "ASpks TB sRNA". The record is from Rfam by way of RNAcentral. Lineage: Bacteria; Bacillati; Actinomycetota; Actinomycetes; Pseudonocardiales; Pseudonocardiaceae.